RNAcentral lists this unclassified non-coding RNA (381 nucleotides) under Hevea brasiliensis (rubber tree). The record is from RNAcentral. Lineage: Eukaryota; Viridiplantae; Streptophyta; Magnoliopsida; Malpighiales; Euphorbiaceae.
UUCAGAGAUAUCAAUCAGCUGAUAGUCGGUACGGUUAACAUGUGGCACAUCACAAUUGUGGGAGGACGGAACGAUAUCUUCCAGUUUCUUUCCAUUGAAAAUGUCAAUUGCCACAAAGUGACAUUUAGCAUGUCCGUGCUUUCCAGUUUUUGAAGUGGAGACCUCAACAACCUUGCAGGGACGGCCUUUGAUAACGAUGUAACCAUUCUUACGGAUGGUUCCAGCUUGCUGUGGGAAAGUUUUUGAGGCACCAGCAUCUGCCUUUGACUCAAAAUGGUGUUCUUCGUCCGACAUGCUUCUCUCUCUAGGAUUCCCUUUCUCUCUCUAGGAUUCUUUUGUGCUAUUUGGGGGAAAGAGCAAAAAAGGACUAACACAAAAUUU